RNAcentral lists this ribosomal RNA (509 nucleotides) under uncultured bacterium. RNAcentral's name for it is "bacterial SSU rRNA". It matches the Rfam family "Bacterial small subunit ribosomal RNA", at positions 36 to 518 of the family's 1533-position model. The record is from RNAcentral.
CUGGCGGCGUGCCUAAUACAUGCAAGUCGAACGGUCUUUCUAUGGAAGCUGCUUCCACUGAGAAGAUAGUGGCGAACGGGUGAGUAACACGUGGGUAACCUGCCCAUAAGAGGGGGGAUAACAUCCGGAAACGGGUGCUAAUACCGCAUAGUUUUCUUGAUCGCGUGAUCGGGAAAGGAAAGACGGCCUUUGUGCUGUCGCUUAUGGAUGGACCCGCGGCGUAUUAGUUAGUUGGUGAGGUAACGGCUCACCAAGACGAUGAUACGUAGCCGACCUGAGAGGGUGAUCGGCCACAUUGGGACUGAGACACGGCCCAAACUCCUACGGGAGGCAGCAGUAGGGAAUCUUCCGCAAUGGACGAAAGUCUGACGGAGCAACGCCGCGUGAGUGAAAGAAGGUUUUCGGAUCGUAAAACUCUGUUGUCAGAGAAGAACAAGUUGGAGAGUAACUGCUCCAGCCUUGACGGUAUCUGACCAGAAAGCCACGGCUAACUACGUGCCAGCCGCGGC